ACUGCCCCUAGAGGCAUUGCUGGUGUGGCUGAUGUGUCACAUGUGUGUCAAUAAGUGGUAGAGAGGAGAGAGGUUAUGUCUAUGCUCAGUCUUCUAGCCUAUAAACAUCUGAACAAUUAGUAGCCUAACAGU
This is a small nucleolar RNA of Mastomys coucha (southern multimammate mouse), 132 nucleotides long. RefSeq annotates it as small nucleolar RNA SNORA17. The transcript has a single exon. NCBI's taxonomy places the organism in Eukaryota, Metazoa, Chordata, Mammalia, Rodentia, Muridae. The record is from RefSeq and is a predicted model, not a curated record.